This 465-nucleotide ribosomal RNA is filed under the name uncultured Klebsiella sp. Its description in RNAcentral is "bacterial SSU rRNA". It matches the Rfam family "Bacterial small subunit ribosomal RNA", at positions 338 to 795 of the family's 1533-position model. Lineage: Bacteria; Pseudomonadati; Pseudomonadota; Gammaproteobacteria; Enterobacterales; Enterobacteriaceae. The record is from RNAcentral.
CCUACGGGUGGCAGCAGUGGGGAAUAUUGCACAAUGGGCGCAAGCCUGAUGCAGCCAUGCCGCGUGUGUGAAGAAGGCCUUCGGGUUGUAAAGCACUUUCAGCGGGGAGGAAGGCGGUGAGGUUAAUAACCUCAUCGAUUGACGUUACCCGCAGAAGAAGCACCGGCUAACUCCGUGCCAGCAGCCGCGGUAAUACGGAGGGUGCAAGCGUUAAUCGGAAUUACUGGGCGUGAAGCGCACGCAGGCGGUCUGUCAAGUCGGAUGUGAAAUCCCCGGGCUCAACCUGGGAACUGCAUUCGAAACUGGCAGGCUAGAGUCUUGUAGAGGGGGGUAGAAUUCCAGGUGUAGCGGUGAAAUGCGUAGAGAUCUGGAGGAAUACCGGUGGCGAAGGCGGCCCCCUGGACAAAGACUGACGCUCAGGUGCGAAAGCGUGGGGAGCAAACAGGAUUAGAUACCCGUGUAGUC